UACGUAGGGGCCGAGCGUUGUCCGGAGUUAUUGGGCGUAAAGCGCGCGCAGGCGGCCUCGCGCGCCCGACGUGAAAGCCCCCGGCUUAACCGGGGAGGGUCGUUGGGGACGGCGGGGCUUGAGGGCGGGAGAGGUCGGUGGAAUUCCCGGUGUAGUGGUGAAAUGCGUAGAGAUCGGGAGGAACACCUGUGGCGAAGGCGGCCGACUGGGCCGACCCUGACGCUGAGGAGCGAAAGCCAGGGGAGCAAACGGG
This 253-nucleotide ribosomal RNA is filed under the name uncultured bacterium. RNAcentral's name for it is "partial 16S ribosomal RNA". It matches the Rfam family "Bacterial small subunit ribosomal RNA", at positions 524 to 776 of the family's 1533-position model. The record is from RNAcentral.